RNAcentral lists this ribosomal RNA (482 nucleotides) under uncultured bacterium. RNAcentral's name for it is "bacterial SSU rRNA". It matches the Rfam family "Bacterial small subunit ribosomal RNA", at positions 28 to 507 of the family's 1533-position model. The record is from RNAcentral.
GAUGAACGCUGGCGGCGUGCCUAACACAUGCAAGUUGAACGAAGACAUACCGACGGAAUCCUUCGGGAGGAAGAUGGUAUGGACUGAGUGGCGGACGGGUGAGUAACGCGUGGGUAACCUGCCCUGUACAGGGGGACAACAGUUAGAAAUGACUGCUAAUACCGCAUAAGCGCACAGUACCGCAUGGUACAGUGUGAAAAACUCCGGUGGUACAGGAUGGGCCCGCGUCUGAUUAGUUAGUUGGCGGGGUAACGGCCCACCAAGACGACGAUCAGUAGCCGGACUGAGAGGUUGAACGGCCACAUUGGGACUGAGACACGGCCCAGACUCCUACGGGAGGCAGCAGUGGGGGAUAUUGGACAAUGGGGGGCAACCCUGAUCCAGCGACGCCGCGUGAGGGAAGAAGGUUUUCGGAUUGUAAACCUCUGUUGACGGAGAAAAAAAUGAUGGUAUCCGUUUAGAAAGCCACGGCUAACUACGUG